This 1033-nucleotide ribosomal RNA is filed under the name uncultured Gammaproteobacteria bacterium. Its description in RNAcentral is "bacterial SSU rRNA". It matches the Rfam family "Bacterial small subunit ribosomal RNA", at positions 9 to 1035 of the family's 1533-position model. The record is from RNAcentral. Lineage: Bacteria; Pseudomonadati; Pseudomonadota; Gammaproteobacteria.
GAGUUUGAUCAUGGCUCAGAUUGAAAGAUGGCGGCAGGUUUCAUACAUGCAAGUCGAACGGGGAGGACACCUUCGGGAGUACCAACCCAGUGGCGGACGGGUGAGUAACGCGUAGGAAUCUACCUAGUAGUGGGGAAUAACGCCAGGAGACUGGCGCUAAUACCGCAUACGACCUAAGGGUGAAAGCGGGGGAUCUUCGGACCUCGCGCUACUAGAGGAGCCUGCGUUGGAUUAGCUUGUUGGUGAGGUAACGGCUCACCAAGGCGACGAUCCAUAGCUGGUCUGAGAGGACGAUCAGCCACACUGGAACUGAGACGCGGUCCAGACUUCUAAGGAAGGCAGCAGUAGAGAAUAUUGCACAAUGGGGGAAACCCAGAUGCAGGCAUGCCGCGUGUGUGAAGACAGCCCUAGGGUUGUAAAGCACUUUCGGUGGUGAAGAAAGCCGGCGCGUUAAUACCGCGACCCGGGUAGACGUUAACCAUUAAAGAAGCACCGGCUAACUCCGUGCCAGCAGCCGCGGUAAGACGGAGGGUGCAAACGUUAAUCGGAAUUACUGGGCGUAAAGCGCACGUAGGCGGAUAGUCAAGUGGGACGUGAAAGCCCUCGGCUCAACCGGGGAAUUGCGUUUCAAACUGGCUGUCUAGAGUGUAGUAGAGGAAAGUGGAAUUUGCUGUGUAGCGGUGAAAUGCGUAGAUAUGGCAAGGAACGUCAGUGGCGAAGGCGGCUUUCUGGACUAACACUGACGCUGAGGUGCGAAAGCGUGGGUAGCGAACAGGAUUAGAUACCCUGGUAGUCCACGCCGUAAACGAUGAGAACUAGCCGUAGGAUCCCUCGGGAUUAUGUGGCGCAGCUAACGCGAUAAGUUCUCCGCCUGGGGACUACGACCGCAAGGUUAAAACUCAAAUGAAUUGACGGGAGCCCGCACAAGCGGUGGAGCAUGUUGUUUAAUUCGAUGCAACGCGAAGAACCUUACCACCUUUUGACAUCCACGGAAUCCCUCAGAGAUGAGGGAGUGCUUUUAGAACCGUGAGAA